Molecule: ribosomal RNA, 253 nt
Filed under: uncultured bacterium
Lineage: Bacteria
Description: partial 16S ribosomal RNA
Rfam family: Bacterial small subunit ribosomal RNA
Source: RNAcentral
UACGUAGGGGGCUAGCGUUGUCCGGAAUUACUGGGCGUAAAGCGCGCGUAGGCGGCUUUUCAAGUCGAUUGUGAAAUCCCCGGGCUUAACCUGGGAACUGCAGUCGAGACUGUCUAGCUAGAGUAUGGGAGAGGGAAGUGGAAUUUCAGGUGUAGCGGUGAAAUGCGUAGAUAUCUGAAGGAACAUCAGUGGCGAAAGCGACUUCCUGGACCAAUACUGACGCUCAUGUGCGAAAGCGUGGGGAGCAAACAGG